RNAcentral lists this ribosomal RNA (472 nucleotides) under uncultured bacterium. RNAcentral's name for it is "partial 16S ribosomal RNA". It matches the Rfam family "Bacterial small subunit ribosomal RNA", at positions 30 to 507 of the family's 1533-position model. The record is from RNAcentral.
AGUGAACGCUGGCGGUAGGCCUAACACAUGCAAGUCGAACGGCAGCACCGUAAGAGCUUGCUCUUACGGGUGGCGGGUCGCGGACGGGUGAGGAAUACAUCGGAAUCUACUUUUUCGUGGAGGAUAACGUAGGGAAACUUACGCCAAUACCGCAUCCGACCUACGGGUGAAAGCAGGGGAUCUUCGGACCUUGCGGGAGUGAAUGGGCCGGCGUCGGAUUAGCUAGUUGGCGGGGUAGAGGCCCACCAAGGCGACGAUGGGUAGCCGGACUGAGAGGAUGAGCGGCACACUUGGGACUGAGAUAAGGCCCGGACUCCUACGGGAGGCAGCAGUGGGGAAUAUUGCACAAUGGGCGGAAGCCUGAUGCAGCAACGCCGCGUGCGGGAUGACGGCCUUCGGGUUGUAAACCGCUUUCGCCUGUGACGAAGCGUGAGUGACGGUAAUGGGUAAAGAAGCACCGGCUAACUACGUG